This 348-nucleotide ribosomal RNA is filed under the name uncultured alga. RNAcentral describes it as "bacterial LSU rRNA". It matches the Rfam family "Bacterial large subunit ribosomal RNA", at positions 2098 to 2445 of the family's 2925-position model. The record is from RNAcentral.
CCUUUACUAUAGCUUCGCCUUGGCGUUAGCGACCGUAUGUGUAGGAUAGGUGGGAGGCUAUGAAGCCGGGGCGCCAGCUCUGGUGGAGCCAUCCUUGAAAUACCACCCUUACUGUCGUUGACGUCUAACCGAGGGCCGUUAUCCGGUCCCGGGACAUGGCGUGGUGGGUAGUUUGACUGGGGCGGUCGCCUCCUAAAGUGUAACGGAGGCGCGCGAUGGUGGGCUCAGACCGGUCGGAAAUCGGUCGUCGAGUGCAAUGGCAUAAGCCCGCCUGACUGCGAGACUGACAAGUCGAGCAGAGACGAAAGUCGGCCAUAGUGAUCCGGUGGUCCCGCGUGGAAGGCGCAU